Molecule: long non-coding RNA, 289 nt
Filed under: Dermacentor andersoni
Lineage: Eukaryota; Metazoa; Arthropoda; Arachnida; Ixodida; Ixodidae
Description: uncharacterized LOC126548533
Source: RNAcentral
CAUCGGCCGCGCAUCUGAGCGCUGGCCUGUUCGGGCACCCGUCUGCCUGUUUUUCUAUUUUGGGAUUUAGCCUGGUUUGGUGGCCUCCCGGCGAAUUAUUGCGUUCAUUCGGAACUUCGACAUGGCAGCACUGCACUAUUGGACUACGGCAAGCUCACGUCGUCUGGUGGAGCUUCCUGCGGAAACUACUGCUGCUUACCUGGUGCCACAACGUUGGAUGAAUGCACAAAAGCCCGCGACGAGCAUUUACAAAGAAUAAAAUAAACGUUAAUUUUUCCUCAUUUCACAA